This 486-nucleotide ribosomal RNA is filed under the name Corbicula japonica. Its description in RNAcentral is "partial 16S rRNA". It matches the Rfam family "Bacterial large subunit ribosomal RNA", at positions 1801 to 2593 of the family's 2925-position model. The record is from RNAcentral. Lineage: Eukaryota; Metazoa; Mollusca; Bivalvia; Venerida; Cyrenidae.
UGUUUAUCAAAAACAUGGCCUUUUGAAAAUUUAUAUAAAAGGUUGGGCCUGCCCAGUGAUCUGAAAUGGUUUAACGGCUGCGAUUGAAACCGUACUAAGGUAGCAUAAUAAUUUGCCCUUUAAUUGGGGGAGAGAAUGAAUGGUUUGACGGUAAAAAAGCUGUUUUAAAAAUAAUUAAAGAAGUUAACUUUUAAGUGAAAAGGCUUAAGUUUUUAUAAAAGACGAGAAGACCCCGUCGAGCUUAAUUAGGAUAGCUUUAUUUAAAAGAUAUCUAAAAUUUUAUUGGGGCAAUAGAAAAUGAAAAGAAUCAUUUUUUAUAGAAUAAGGAUCCAGUUUUGACUGAAAAAAGCAAAAGCUACCGCGGGGAUAACAGGGUAAUUUUUUCUGAGAGUUCAUAUUUAAGAGAAAGUUUGCUACCUCGAUGUUGGAUUAAAAUUUCUUUAUGCUUGCAGCAGGUAUAAUAGUAGGACUGUUCGUCCUUUAAAU